RNAcentral lists this ribosomal RNA (417 nucleotides) under uncultured bacterium. Its description in RNAcentral is "bacterial SSU rRNA". It matches the Rfam family "Bacterial small subunit ribosomal RNA", at positions 769 to 1185 of the family's 1533-position model. The record is from RNAcentral.
UUAACCGGAUUAGAUACCCUGGUAGUCCACGCCGUAAACGAUGUGUGCUAGACGUCGGAUGUUCGGCAUUCGGUGUCGGAGCUAACGCAUUAAGCACACCGCCUGGGGAGUACGGCUGCAAGGUUAAAACUCAGAGGAAUUGACGGGGGCCCGCACAAGCGGUGGAGCAUGUGGUUUAAUUCGACGCAACGCGCAGAACCUUACCAGCCCUUGACAUCCCGGUCGCGGGGAGUGGAGACACACCCUUUCAGUUCGGCUGGACCGGAGACGGGUGCUGCAUGGCUGUCGUCAGCUCGUGUCGUGAGAUGUUGGGUUAAGUCCCGCAACGAGCGCAACCCUCAUCCUUAGUUGCCAUCAUUUGGUUGGGCACUCUAAGGAAACUGCCGGUGACAAGCCGGAGGAAGGUGGGGAUGACGU